ACGGGAAGUGGCGCAGGCGCAGUGGCGUGGAACCGCACACCCUGGGUAAUUGCCGGGCGCGCUCCCGACCAGCGUCUUGUUCCGGCAGCGAGGACGCCACAGUGACGGCCUUGAUCCGCUUGGCAUUGAGUGUGCCCCAUCUCGGCGUCUACGUGGGCCAAUGGCAUCCCGUCCGGAGUGACUGAGGCCGGGGACGCGACUUUUCUGGACGUCCCUCAGCAAAGAGGAAGGGCGGAAACCGCAUCCCGGAAAGGUGGAAAGACUAUCUCCCAGUUGGACAGGAUGGCUGAAACUUGAUUGAUUGCUUUUAAAGUCCCUUUGUAAAAGAGAUCUGGAAAGACAAAUGACAAGACAUAUCUUCCAUGUGGCCAGGCAGAACAAUACACCUCGUCAGCUCUGACUGUCCUCCUUGCCUGAAGUACAGCUCCCAUUUCUUCUACACUGGAUGUAUAUACAAAACAGGUAGAUCCUUGCUGUGUGGAUGAAAUCCUUUCUGGCAACAUGAAGAAAUCUCCUGUAGUCCGUGGUCAGUUCUCAAGAAAAGGCAGAUUCAGAGGCAAACAAAGGUGUUCCUCAGCCCCCCCCCCCCCCCCCA
This is a long non-coding RNA of Sciurus carolinensis (gray squirrel), 595 nucleotides long. RefSeq lists it as uncharacterized. The transcript has 3 exons. NCBI's taxonomy places the organism in Eukaryota, Metazoa, Chordata, Mammalia, Rodentia, Sciuridae. The record is from RefSeq and is a predicted model, not a curated record.